AACUUUCAACAAUGGAUCACUUGGCUCUGGCAUCGAUGAAGAACGCAGCGAAAUGCGAUAAGUAGUGUGAAUUGCAGAAUUCAGUGAAUCAUCGAUUCUUUGAACGCACAUUGCGCCCCUUGGUAUUCCAUGGGGCAUGCCUGUUCGAGCGUCAUCUACACCCUCAAGCUCUGCUUGGUGUUGGGCGUCUGUCCCGCCUCUGCGCGUGGACUCGCCCCAAAUUCAUUGGCAGCGGUCUUUGCCUCCUCUCGCGCAGCACAUUGCGCUUCUCGAGGUGCGCGGCCCGCGUCCACGAAGCAACAUUACCGUCUUUGACCUCGGAUCAGGUAGGGAUACCCGCUGAACUUAAGCAUAUCAAUAAGCGGAGGCU
This 370-nucleotide unclassified non-coding RNA is filed under the name uncultured Microdiplodia. RNAcentral describes it as "sequence contains ITS2". The stretch from base 1 to 154 matches the Rfam family "5.8S ribosomal RNA". The record is from RNAcentral. Lineage: Eukaryota; Fungi; Ascomycota; Dothideomycetes; Botryosphaeriales; Botryosphaeriaceae.